RNAcentral lists this ribosomal RNA (427 nucleotides) under uncultured bacterium. RNAcentral describes it as "bacterial SSU rRNA". It matches the Rfam family "Bacterial small subunit ribosomal RNA", at positions 355 to 773 of the family's 1533-position model. The record is from RNAcentral.
UGGGGAAUCUUGCGCAAUGGGCGAAAGCCUGACGCAGCAACGCCGCGUGUGUGAUGAAGGUCUUCGGAUCGUAAAGCACUGUCGCGAGGGACAAAUAAGGGUCGGGCUAACAUCCCGGUCCGAUGACGGUACCUCGAGAGGAAGCACCGGCUAACUCUGUGCCAGCAGCCGCGGUAAUACGGGGGGUGCGAGCGUUGUCCGGAACCACUGGGCGUAAAGGGCGCGUAGGUGGCUUUGUAAGUUUGCGGUGAAAGCCCGGGCCUCAACCCCGGGUCUGCCGUGAAUACUGCAAGGCUUGAGUACUGUAGAGGCAGGUAGAAUAUCGGGUGUAGCGGUGGAAUGCGUAGAGAUCCGAUAGAAGACCGGUGGCGAAGGCGGCCUGCUGGGCAGUAACUGACACUGAGGCGCGACAGCGUGGGGAGCAAAC